RNAcentral lists this long non-coding RNA (413 nucleotides) under Homo sapiens (human). RNAcentral's name for it is "non-protein coding lnc-LARP7-1:1". Lineage: Eukaryota; Metazoa; Chordata; Mammalia; Primates; Hominidae. The record is from RNAcentral.
GCCUGGGUGACAGGGUAAGAUGCUGUCUCAAACAAAAUAAAAAGGAAGGAAGGAAGGAAGGAGAGACAGAGCUGUUCAGUUCUCUUGCCCAAAGUCACAGGACAAGUGUAACAAACAGACUCAUCCCAGAUGUCAGAGUUAGGUGCUGAAGCCAGCAACAAGGAGAAACACCAAAUAGUGAAAUUUAUCCUGAGAAAAUAUGCCUCGCUGGAAAAAUGUAUUCUUUAAACCCAAACAGAGCCAAUUUUCCCACCAUUAUUAGAAUGGUCCGUAUUCCUUUAGUUGGACAACAAUAUGCGUAAGGGUCAUUUCAAAGGAAAAAUGUGAAUCUUUAAACCCUACAUCACACUCAAAUGUACUUUGAUGUUCAUUCUAGAGAAGAAUGUGAAAAAUCAGGAGUUGGCCAGGAGCAG